UGUAUCGGAAGCCUGACGAGGAUGAGAACCUCCGGGGGCAAGAGGUUCGACUCGAGCGCAGCGAGAGAACGUUGCGUCAGCAACGGCCCGCAGGGCGAGCCACGCAGUGGCGAGUC
RNAcentral lists this small RNA (116 nucleotides) under Salmonella enterica. RNAcentral describes it as "partial RtT sRNA". It matches the Rfam family "RtT RNA", at positions 1 to 112 of the family's 130-position model. Rfam says of the family: This family represents a bacterial cis-regulatory element known as RtT RNA. The record is from RNAcentral. Lineage: Bacteria; Pseudomonadati; Pseudomonadota; Gammaproteobacteria; Enterobacterales; Enterobacteriaceae.